Molecule: ribosomal RNA, 445 nt
Filed under: Acanthamoeba sp. ARC4
Lineage: Eukaryota; Discosea; Longamoebia; Acanthamoebidae
Description: SSU rRNA
Rfam family: Eukaryotic small subunit ribosomal RNA
Source: RNAcentral
UUGGCCCAGAUCGUUUACCGUGAAAAAAUUAGAGUGUUCAAAGCAGGCAGAUCCAAUUUUCUGCCACCGAAUACAUUAGCAUGGGAUAAUGGAAUAGGACCCUGUCCUCCUAUUUUCAGUUGGUUUUGGCACGCGAGGACCAGGGUAAUGAUUAAUAGGGAUAGUUGGGGGCAUUAAUAUUUAAUUGUCAGAGGUGAAAUUCUUGGAUUUAUGAAAGAUUAACUUCUGCGAAAGCAUCUGCCAAGGAUGUUUUCAUUAAUCAAGAACGAAAGUUAGGGGAUCGAAGACGAUCAGAUACCGUCGUAGUCUUAACCAUAAACGAUGCCGACCAGCGAUUAGGAGACGUUGAAUACCAAACACCACCAUCGGUGCGGUCGUCCUUGGCGCGUCGUGGCUUGCUGCGGCGUGCGAGGGCGGUUUAGCCUGAUGGCAUCGGUGAAUGACU